GUUUGUAAGAACGGACAUGUCAUGUGACAUCUGUCACCCCAUUGAUCGCCCGGGUUGAUUCGGCUGAUCUGGCUGGCUAGGCGGGUGUCCCCCUCCUCCCUCACCGACCCAUGUGCGUCCCUCCCGAAGCUGCGCGAUCAGUCGAAGAGGACGACCUCCGCUCCCCCCAGAGGACCGGUCUUCGGUCAAGGGUAUACGAGUAGCUGCGCCGCCCUGCUAGAACCUCCAAACAAGCUCUCAAGAAAUAUCCAGGGGAGACAGAGUAAAAUUUAAAACGAGUUUGGCCUAUAUUCAGUCUUAAAAGUUUCAUGAAAAUAUAAAACU
RNAcentral lists this small nuclear RNA (324 nucleotides) under Myotis davidii. Its description in RNAcentral is "7SK RNA". It matches the Rfam family "7SK RNA". Rfam says of the family: 7SK was discovered as an abundant small nuclear RNA in the mid-70s but a possible function has only recently been suggested. Two independent studies have found that 7SK RNA binds the CDK9/cyclin T complex (known as elongation factor P-TEFb). Lineage: Eukaryota; Metazoa; Chordata; Mammalia; Chiroptera; Vespertilionidae. The record is from Rfam by way of RNAcentral.